AUUGGUGCAUCCUUACAUUUCUGGCAACCCUAGUGUCUUCCUGCUCACGCUGCAUCCGAGCGAAGCUUGCUUGCUAGUCCUGCUGGAUGUCCAGACUGUUGACUAGAAGACGGAUUUCGAGCUGAUACGUUUUGAAUGAUAAGGAUGUGGGCGUGCUGACCCUGCUGUGGGCGGAGCCCGCCAUGCGUUAGUGCGCCGGCGAACGCGGACCCCUGGUCUGUCGCCAUGGCGAUGGCGGUGAACGCGGCGGCGGAGGCGGAGAAGGCGCGGGCGCUCCUGCAGACCUUCAGCUCGGCGUCGGUGGCGGCCAGCGUGGGCCUGGGCGUCUUCUGCUUCUGCGCCGACCGCCUGCUGCAGCUGUCACUCAUCCAGAGCCACCUAUGGCUGCGUGCUGCCGCCGACAACGCCGUCCACGCUGCCAUCGCGAUCUGGGCCUGGGCCAUCGUCAUCGGCCUGAGGAAGAGGAGCGACCUGUGCGAGGUGGCGCUGGCCGGCUUCUUCGCCUCUGUCAUCGACCUGGAUCACUUCUACCUGGCCGGCUCGCUGUCACUCAAGGCGGCUGUCAGCCUGCCCCACCGCCCCCCACUGCACUGCUCCACGUUGAUCCCGGUGCUCUGCCUGUCGCUGAGGCUGCUCAUGUGGCUGUUCCGGCUGAAGGACUCCUGGUGCUUCCUCCCAUGGAUGCUCUUCAUCGCGCUGGCGUCCCACCACGUGCGGGAUGGGGUGCGGCACGGCCUGUGGGUGUGGCCCUUGGGGAACACCGCGCCCGUGCCCUACUGGCUGUACGUGGGCAUCAGCGCCACCCUGCCCCACCUCUGCUCCGUGCUCAUGUACCUGACGGGCACCAGAGACGUGAUCUCCACCAAACACGGCGUCGCCAUCGACGUCUGACCCCCCCCCCCCCCCCACCGUGCUGCGCCCCCACCCCCCCCUCACCGUGUUGCCGCCCCCCGCCAUCCCCGCCAUCCUGCUGCCACCCGGGGCCUGUCUCCUGCGUCUGGCGCACUGCUGAUGCCUCGGUCCUCCCCCCCCCCAAGAAAAAAAACUAUACCUAGUUCUAGAUGCCCCAUAUUCUUGGAAUUACAUGGCUUCUUUGUGAAUGCAUUUGCUUUUUCUUUCAUCAUCUGAAUGUUGGACUUUAAUUUGGGAGUUUUUGGUAGGUUUUGUCUGAUAUCAGAACGCAUCUCAUGAGAAUAUUUAACUAAAAGCUCAAAAAAAAAAGGACCAGUUUUACAUAGGGCUGGGCAAUAUACUCAUUCGAUAAUUACCUAAUUUAUAUAUAUUUUUUAGUUCAAUAGCAGUUAUUGCCACCUUGUGGUGUAUUGCCUUUCUCUUUCUUUGUUGUUUUUUAAAAUUAUUGUUAUUAUAAUUAUCUGCAUUAUUUAAUUCUACCUGAUGUGGUAGUAAACAUCCAAACUUCAGGGGCAGUGUGAAAUUCUUCCAGAAACACCACUGAUAUCCAUUGGAUGUUGAUAAGACAGCCAAUCAGCAGCAAGGUCAUACAGGGGCUUGCAGCUUCCAUGUGAUCGACAAUGAACAGCCACUGAUUGGCUGUUUUAUCAGCAUCCAAUAGAUAUCAGCGGGGAUUUUUCCCCCCCCGGAAGCACUUCAUGCUGCCUUUAAAGUUUGGAUGUUUAUUACCAGAGCAGGUGUAAGUAAAGAGACAGACAGAAAGGCACACGGUGGUGAUGACCGUUGUCAAAACAAUGUGACCGUUAUUGAGCGAGUAUAUCGCUCAGCCCUGUUUUCACAGGAGAUCAAUGCCAAGGCCCUGACUUAUCAAUGGAUGAAGAGGCAUCCCAUUAAUCUUGUUUUUACCGGACAUGAAUCAUGGAACCUGCUUUCCGCUCAUUGCUGUCACCCUCAUGAUUAUCCAGCUAUUUCAUCAUUUUUCCGUGUGGGUUCGAUUUCACCCCUAGCUCUGAGUUCGCACACUGCCCCGAGCCUAUCAGACAAAUAAGGAUUCUUUGUUUGAAGGGGUUCCGCGCUGGACACAGACAGAAGAGAGAUGUGUGCUUAUGGAUGACAGUGGAGCAUUGCUUGAAUCCACGCUUCACCCUCGUUUAUAUUACUGUAAUUUCUGAGGUUAAAUUCCCCUGAUAAAUGAACUGAUGGCCCAUGCAUCUGUAGUUAGAUCAUGUCAGGGCACAUUGCCCACUCAUUGAAGUCUUUACUGAUUGUUUACUGAAUGUUCGCCCAGUUAAUUACAGCAUCUCCAGUGACGAGCGUGCAGCUCGGUAGAUUGUUUCUCUUCCUUAGAACUCUCAGUCAGCCUGAGGACUCGGCUUCAUGCAGAUGCCAAGUAAACAGCAGCACUAUAAUAUGCACAUAAACGCGUGCCUUGUUGCUUUCAGAUUUUUUGGGUGUGCUCUAGUUCUACCGCACUCCUCUACAUUAUUGGGAAUGGGAAUGAUCAGACGAAGACUAAUGAAGACUAAUGUAAUUAUUUGCCUUCAAAAUAUUUUAAUUAGUUUCCAUAUAUGCGAAUAACUUCCCAUUCACUGUAUUUUGUGUUUAAUAGUAUUAUUUUGACAGGGAAGAUGUAUAAAUACAAUGGAUGUGGUAAAUAAUUUAAUCUGAUGUGAUGAUGCCUAUUAUGCCAUAAUUUUCUCCCUGGUGGUCACCCAGAAUAUGACUGCUCCCACAUCAAAGCCACAGUCGGACAUGUUUAUCCUUCCUCUACAUGUCAAAGAAUAAUAUCAGAAAUUCAGCAAAUUGAAGGCUUCAGAUCAUUCAUUUCCAUCCACAUAGCUGUAAAAAUCCCUGAUGUAAUGGUUGCAGGUUUAAUGCUGUGCUUUGCUCCUACCUCAGUGUGAGCCAGUGUGAAUUUAUCAGCCUUGUGUGGAAGUGUCUGUCGCAUUCAAAGUUCUGCAGUGAAAAGUUCUUAUCUUGAUAUUAAAUCUGGAAAAGUUUGCCGUUCUGACAGACUGGCAAUUCCACUGGGGGGAUUAGGGGAGCUGGACAUUAUCGGUCUGCCCUAAUGGAACCUGACAGGGGCAGCACCUGUCUCCACACACUUCCUGUCUCCGCACACUUCCUUCUUAUUUGCAGUUUUCAGCUGGCUGGCUCUGCUACAUGUCCUGUAUGUGACAGGAAGUUAAUAAGUCUCAUGUUCUCCUGGUUGCUGGGAGAGGGUCGGCAGCAUCGAUCUCUCAAUCCUCUCACACUGACUGUCAGCCAGUUAAGCAGGACCCUGCAUGCCGUGACCUCAUUCUACACGGAUUGGACGCACACACACACACAGGCACACACAUACAUGCACACACACACACACACACACACACAAGCACAGGCACACACACAUGCACACAAACACAUACACUCACACACAGGCACAAACGUAAAAGGCCAUCUGGAACGAAGCAUCAUUAACAGAUGCACUGAUUUUAAGGUUUUCCUGACGAUAACAACAUCCGCAAAACAAAUGUUGACGCAGUGAUUAUUUUCCUUUGCAAAUGUGUUUUCUCAGGGUAAUGAAUAGCAUCAAAACUUUAAAAUAGAAUAAUUUGUAGACUAUGAUGCAACUGGUUUGUAAGCUGAACAUUUCAUAGGUUAUGCUUUUAUUUGAUGUAUGAUAUCCAAUUCUCAUCUCAAUCUCAUUUAAUUCUCAUCCCAUCUAAGUUCAUUCUUGUCUGAUAUCUCAUUUCUGAACUCAUCACUUCUCAUGCAGACAAAAGGCAUUGUCUGUUUCAGCUGUGUGUGCCAGUCUCAAAAUGAAACCAAGUAAAACUGCUGAGGCUCUGAGCUUCUCCCGGUCCCCGCUCUCGAAACAUCGCCCCCGUUUGUCCCCCAUUUCAGCCUGCCACCCCAGCCCUGGCCCGACUGCUUAAUGCAGCCCGUCCCAAACUGCCUGCCCCAGUGAACCCCACCCUGAGCCGGCCAGAGGAGGACAGGGCUCCCCCGGAUCAGUCUGGUUCCUUCCCAGGUUUCCUCCUACACAUUUUCCAGGGAGUGUUUCCCACCACUGUUACCUCUGGCUCGCUCUGUGGAGGUUUAGACCAGGGCACUCUGUGAAGUGUGUUGUGACAAAUCCUGUGUAAAAUAUGCUGUGGAAAUAAAAUGUGAUUGAUUGUGUUUGAAAAUGAGAA
Anguilla rostrata (American eel) is the source of this 4088-nucleotide RNA transcript. It is a transcript of the gene named transmembrane protein 267, with no coding region annotated. NCBI's taxonomy places the organism in Eukaryota, Metazoa, Chordata, Actinopteri, Anguilliformes, Anguillidae. The record is from RefSeq and is a predicted model, not a curated record. The transcript has 4 exons.